GGGGUGGGCGGGAACAAGAUGGAAGUUGGAAUUCUUAAGCAUUAUUUUAAUUCAUUUGUCAUCCUCCUGAAAAUGUGGUGUUUGGGCAAUUUUGAAAGUGUUCUAAUAGCUUUCCUUAUUCCUUUUCAUAGAAAUUAACAACUAAUUAUGAACGCUGUAUUGUAGAAGCUCUCAAUGAAGCCCACUUCCUUUACACCUGUGUUGGUUUGACAGGGUGGCUUUAAGUUGGACGCUCUCAAUAAAGCUGUCAUACUUAGCUAUUGUAUACUUCUUCACAUCUAGUAAAUUUCCUAAGCAUUUACCUCCCCGUCCUCCUUCUCCUCCUUGCCCUCUCUUUCAUUCUCCUUGACUCUCUCUCUCUCUGAGAGAUACCUAGCCAGAGUCAAAGGAUUCUUCAUAAGAAGCAAGUGAAAGCAAUCUUCUCUGCUAGUCUUACAUAAGAACCACACAGCAGCCGGUCCCCUGAGCCAUCCCUGUCACAUUCUCCUGUCUGCUGAAGAGAGGAACAUCACCGAGAGUUGCUGGAAGAAGAAUGACUCACAGGUGAUACCCGCCACACACGUUAUCCUCAAGGUUUGAAAUAACCACCAAUGAAGGAGCCAGUCAAGAGAACCUGAGGUAAACUAGAAAGCAAGUGACCAAUAAACCCAGAAGACCAGGAGCUUCCAAGGUGGGGGAGGCUCAUGAUGCAGAGCCCCAAACAAUUACCUGACUCGCAAGCAAGCAACCAAUCAUUGAGACCCAGGAUGAAGUCAGAGGAAUGGGCAUGCCACGACAAAAGCCUUUACCUUUCUGACCUCUAACUCAGAGCCGCUCUGCUCCAGGUGAAGUCUCUGCCUUCACCUCUGGAUAAGGAUUCCACACUUGCAUCUUUAAGCUAGUUCGUGGGCAUCUCUACGGAAUUCAUCCACAGGCAUCUUACAGGCACAAGAUCAG
This 936-nucleotide long non-coding RNA is filed under the name Mus pahari (shrew mouse). RNAcentral describes it as "lncRNA (MGP_PahariEiJ_G0006069.1)". Lineage: Eukaryota; Metazoa; Chordata; Mammalia; Rodentia; Muridae. The record is from RNAcentral.